RNAcentral lists this small nuclear RNA (19 nucleotides) under Arabidopsis thaliana (thale cress). RNAcentral's name for it is "snRNA_03437". Lineage: Eukaryota; Viridiplantae; Streptophyta; Magnoliopsida; Brassicales; Brassicaceae. The record is from RNAcentral.
GUGUGGUGGAGAGUAGUGG